CACAAAAAUAAACGACUAUAUUGUAGUAAACUCUGUAGAGUAGUGUAACUAUUGGACUGCUUUCAGCUGCAAAACCACUCAUAGAUUUUUGAUUCUGUCAAGUUAUUAGUAUUGGAGACUCAGUUUCCGUUGAUUCCAUAUCUCAAAUUAAACAGUACGUUCUUGGUUUUAAGUUGUUUAUAAUAAUAGUUGCACCGAUACUUUUAUCUUCUUUAUAAGGGGUAUACAUUUGUCAUAUAGGGGUUAGAAAAAGAAGAAAAAAUAACAAUUUUUUUUUAUUUUUCCAAGAAGUGUUAAGUGUUACGUUAUCUUUUCGUUCCUCGCAAUGCCAACUUAAAAGGCCUUUAAACACGAUAAAGCUAUCAUUUUAGUACACCAUUCAUAUUUAGUACCUUUUAUCACAAAAUAUAUUUCCAUUUUUACUUCUGUGCGCACUUCGUAGAGAAGGCGACAUUAGAGCUUCUAGAAAUCAGUUGUAUGGUGUUUUAUACUUUUCAAUUCAGUUAAUCAGUUCUUAUAAUCGUACUCGUAUUUGUUGCAAUUGUUCACAAGGCAUAACUGAGAUGUAAUCGAUAAUAAUCUCUCAAAUACUCCUGAUCAGAAGAAACACCAUGAAUAGCUCAAUGACUCUGCAAAAUAGUACGAGAAUAACUCUCGAAUGGUACGAUUACACAAUCUUUAGCAUCAUGUUUGCUGUUAGUACCUCAGCUGGAAUCUACUAUGGAUGCUUAGGAAAGAAACAAAAAACUAUAAGCGGAUAUUUAUUAGGAAAUAAGAGAAUAAAUGCAUUACCGAUUGCACUUUCUGUAGCUGUGGGACACUUUUCAGCCAUAACUCUAAUGGUGGCACCUGCUGAUGUUUACAAAUAUGGAGCGUUCCAGUGGCUUGGUUGCAUUUCCAUGGUCUUAUUGGUUAUAUUAUCUGUUUAUAUUUACUUCCCCGUGUUUUUCAACCUUCAACUAACAAGUGCAUACGAGUACUUGGAAAGAAGAUUCGAUAAAAAGACCAAGUUAUUAGCUUCCAUUUUAUAUCUGUUAUGUGAAUUUAUUUUUCUCGCUGUGGCUGUUUAUACACCGUCGUUGGCACUAUCAACCUCCACUGGAAUUCACGUUCAUUUAAUAUCUUCUACAACAUGUGCUAUAUGUGUUUUUUAUACUGCAAUCGGAGGACUACAAACAGUGGUUUGGACAGAUCUUUUCCAAUUUGGUGUAAUUAUAGUAUCAAUGCUCACAGUGUCUAUUAUUGGUACUAUUUCAAGUGGAGGUUUCAUAUCAGUAUGGGAGAACGCUUUAAAAGGCGACAGACUUAAUAUAUUUGAUUUUGAUCCAAAUCCAACGAAACGAGACAGUUUCUGGACUUAUUUCUUUGGAUAUACAGCUCAUUUUACUAACUACAUCAGUCUUACCCAAUCCGGAUUACAGAAAUUUUUAGCUCUACCAACGUUUCGUGAAAGUGUGUGGUCUGUGAUUUAUGUGGCUAUUUCCCUAAGCAUCGUAUAUACUUUCAUUGUCUUCAUUGGUCUUCUCAUGUAUGCACAAUAUUCAAAAUGUGAUCCCUUUACCAGAAAAAAAAUCCAAAGGCAUGAACAGAUCUUACCUUAUUAUAUUAUGGAUGUAGCUGGACACGUACCCGGUGUUUCGGGUUUUUUCUUAGUGGCUUUAUUUUGUGCUUCAUUGAGUACAAUAUCGUCUAGUUUAAAUGGGAUAGCUGGAGUAAUUUACAAAGAUUUCUUGUAUAAAUUUUUAAAUGAAAAUAUUAAGGAAAAAACUGUGACAAAUAUUUUGAAAUUGAUUGUAGCACUUUGUGGCAUUGCGAUCAUAGGUUUGGUUUUAAUAAUGCAGCAUUUGGGAGACAUUAUUCCGUUGGCUACUAGUAUUGCAGCAAUGUCACAAGGACCAUCUAUGGGCAUGUUCACUUUAGGCGUUCUGUUUCCAAAAGCAAAUGCUGAAGGUGCGUUUUAUGGAGCUAUUGGUGGUUUCAUUUUCACAGCAAGUAUCGGCAUGCCUUUGAAAUUUUACAAUUUAGAGAAAACGUUUGCCUACCCAUCAAAAUCUCUCUCAGUUGAAAAUUGCAGCGCUUCAAAUCAAACUGCAGAAUUUGAAUUUCAGCACAUAAAUCAUUCUCUUGUACAGUCUAGUACUUCUUCACCGUAUUUUGCUAGUAAAAGAAAACGAACAGAGGAAAAACUGCCACCUUUUAUGUUUCGCAUUUCGCACUUUUACCACACAUUUCUUGGUGCGCUUGUUACAGUAAUGUUAGGACUGGUAAUCAGUUACUUCACAAAUAAGGGUGAUAGUAUAACUGACAAAACAUUUUUGACUCCAUUUGUUCACAAGUUUGUACCACACAAGUUAGAUAAGCGAGAAAUGCAAAAUCUCGUAAAGCAUACUCGUAAUAAAUAAUAAAAAUAGGAUGAAUAAGUAAUCAAAUACUUCCAAUAAUUUAAAAUAAAAUUCUAUUUAGAAAUGAUAACCACUAUUAGAAAAACUUGUACCCUACCAGACAGAAGCAAGAAUAAAAAAUUGGGCGAAACAUUAUGAAAUUUGAUUUUCCGACCACAAAGAAGAAACACCAUGAAUAACUCUACUCUG
This is an RNA transcript of Zophobas morio, 2591 nucleotides long. It is a transcript of the gene named sodium-coupled monocarboxylate transporter 1-like, with no coding region annotated. The transcript has 10 exons. NCBI's taxonomy places the organism in Eukaryota, Metazoa, Arthropoda, Insecta, Coleoptera, Tenebrionidae. The record is from RefSeq and is a predicted model, not a curated record.